AUUUGAGUCUUGGGUGCUUGUGACUUUACAAAGGAUUCCAUGGUGACUCAGUGGCUGAUGAGGGACCAGAUCUCUGAAAUCCAUGCACUUGCACUGGGAAGCCUCAAGUUUCCAGAUCACUAGAACCAUAUCCUUGGUGGGACUUGAAUAUCUUUCUCUUCUAGCCCAUAGAAGCC
RNAcentral lists this long non-coding RNA (176 nucleotides) under Ictidomys tridecemlineatus (thirteen-lined ground squirrel). RNAcentral describes it as "lncRNA (ENSSTOG00000029704.1)". Lineage: Eukaryota; Metazoa; Chordata; Mammalia; Rodentia; Sciuridae. The record is from RNAcentral.